This 253-nucleotide ribosomal RNA is filed under the name uncultured prokaryote. RNAcentral's name for it is "partial 16S ribosomal RNA". It matches the Rfam family "Bacterial small subunit ribosomal RNA", at positions 525 to 777 of the family's 1533-position model. The record is from RNAcentral.
ACAGAGGUCCCAAGCGUUGUUCGGAAUCACUGGGCGUAAAGGGUGCGUAGGUGGCGUGGUAAGUCAGAUGUGAAAGCCCGGGGCUCAACCUCGGAACUGCAUCCGAUACUGCUGUGCUAGAGUACUGGAGAGGUGACUAGAAUUCUCGGUGUAGCAGUGAAAUGCGUAGAUAUCGAGAGGAAUACCAAAGGCGUAGGCAGGUCACUGGACAGUUACUGACACUGAGGCACGAAGGCCAGGGGAGCAAACGGGA